Molecule: ribosomal RNA, 329 nt
Filed under: uncultured eukaryote
Lineage: Eukaryota
Description: partial 18S ribosomal RNA
Rfam family: Eukaryotic small subunit ribosomal RNA
Source: RNAcentral
CCCUUAGAUGUUCUGGGCCGCACGCGCGCUACACUGAUGCAUUCAACGAGUCUAAAACCUGCUCUGAUAGGGGUGGGUAAUCUUUUGAAUGUGCAUCGUGAUUGGGAUAGAUGAUUGCAAUUUUUCAUCUUCAACGAGGAAUGCCUAGUAAACGCAAGUCAUCAGCUUGCAUUGAUUACGUCCCUGCCCUUUGUACACACCGCCCGUCGCUCCUACCGAUUGAAUGAUCCGAUGAAUAUCAUGGAUUGAGGAUGCAAGCAGGUUCGCCUGUCUUCAUCUUCGAGAAGUGAAGUAAAUCUUAUCAUUCAGAGGAAGGAGAAGUCGUAACA